GAAAGUUAUCCGCUCUAACCACGAAAUUGAUUGGGAGAAAAGGAAGCCCUUGAUCUUAGGAUCAUCUAGGGAGCUCCUGAUCAUUGAUCAGAUGAUCAUUGAUCAGAUGAACCACCGAUGAGAAAUUUUAGAGAGAAGGAGAAAAGGUAAAGAAUAAUGUAUUUAGAGAAAUAGAACGUACUGAUAUAAUGAGCUGAGUGUUUUAAAUUUUUAUUUGUACUUUUAGCUUAUUUUAAUCUUAAGUGUUCAGUUC
Molecule: long non-coding RNA, 253 nt
Filed under: Vigna radiata
Lineage: Eukaryota; Viridiplantae; Streptophyta; Magnoliopsida; Fabales; Fabaceae
Description: long non-coding RNA (VRAD_LNC011082)
Source: RNAcentral